CGCUCUGAAUUGUACGGAGCUUUCAAAUUUCAAUUGGUUUUGAAAAAAGCCCAGAAGCUACAACUUGAAGGCAACAAUGAAAGAACACAGGUUUGCAAUUGGGAGAGAGAGUUCAGACUGAUCGGUGUCUGGCAGCUCUUGCAUUAGAGACAUCUGUUCUAUCUUUGAUGCUUGGGUUGGAAAGAAAGUGAGAAAGGGAUUCAAGACAGCUUGCAUUGAAAUCAAAAUCUCUCUCUCUCUAGGUCAAGGUUUUCGCUUUCUCAAGGUAAAGGAUCAUGCUGGGAUUUAAAAAUAGGUACAUGACAUUGGAGUUUAUCUUGGAUCCGAAUAAAGAACUUGCAGAGAAAGAUCCUGUUAUCAUUACCACAUAAAAUGUUACAAAAGCCAUCAAAUGCUCCAUUUUUCACUAGCAACACUUCAAUCAUGGCUUUUGAGCUGUUGAGCUGGGAAUUUGAACCAUGGUCUUGGGUUGGAGACGAAGCCGAUCGAAUUGACUGUGAGAUGAUGAAGUUGACCGAGGAAAAAGAUGAUGACGUCUGCCAACAGUGGAGAACGACAUCGUCUAACCCAAAAGGGUUUUAAGCCAACUGUCUUCCUCGUAUUGAGAGAAGACUAAAGAAGAAAAACAAAGAGACAAA
This is a long non-coding RNA of Rosa chinensis, 638 nucleotides long. RefSeq lists it as uncharacterized. The record is from RefSeq and is a predicted model, not a curated record. Lineage: Eukaryota; Viridiplantae; Streptophyta; Magnoliopsida; Rosales; Rosaceae. The transcript is spliced from 3 exons.